RNAcentral lists this small RNA (133 nucleotides) under Salmonella enterica subsp. enterica serovar Kentucky. RNAcentral describes it as "RtT sRNA". It matches the Rfam family "RtT RNA". Rfam says of the family: This family represents a bacterial cis-regulatory element known as RtT RNA. The exact function of RtT is unknown although it is thought that it may be involved in changing the cellular response in relation to amino acid starvation. The record is from RNAcentral. Lineage: Bacteria; Pseudomonadati; Pseudomonadota; Gammaproteobacteria; Enterobacterales; Enterobacteriaceae.
GUUAGCACAUGACGGGGAAGGGAGAGAAACAUCGAAAAAGGUUCGACUCGAGCAAUAGUGAGAGAACGUUGCCGCAGGCAACGGCCCGAAGGGUGAGGAGCUUUAGCUCCGAAUAAUCCUUCCCGCUAUAGAA